This 551-nucleotide ribosomal RNA is filed under the name Nitzschia bizertensis. RNAcentral describes it as "LSU rRNA". It matches the Rfam family "Eukaryotic large subunit ribosomal RNA", at positions 87 to 712 of the family's 3401-position model. The record is from RNAcentral. Lineage: Eukaryota; Bacillariophyta; Bacillariophyceae; Bacillariales; Bacillariaceae.
GGGCGACUGAAGCGGGAAGAGCUCAGGAUGUGAAUCUGCGCUAUGCGCCGAAUUGUGGUCUGGAGACGGUGGCGCUACCAGCCGGGCCAAGUCCCUUGGAACAGGGCAGCUGAGAGGGUGAGACUCCCGUUCGCCUGGCAGGGUGAGCUACUAGUCAACGAGUCGAGUUGUUUGGGAUUGCAGCUCAAAGCGGGUGGUAAAUUCCAUCUAAAGCUAAAUAUUGGUGGGAGACCGAUAGCGUACAAGUACCGUGAGGGAAAGAUGCAAAGAACUUUGAAAAGAGAGUUAAAGAGUACCUGAAAUUGCUGAAAGGGAAGCGAAGGAAACCAGUGUUUGCCUGUUCAUAUUUCCCCGUCCGCUUGCGGAUGGGGCGUUGUGUCCGGCUUGAGUUGUUCUUGGUUGUCACCUUUGGAAGAGCGCAGUGAGAGUUGAUCUCUGUUGCUAGCACUGGUGAUGACUGAGAAGGACGANAUGGUUUUCUUUACCCCGUCUUGACACACGGACCANGGANUCUAACAUAUGUGCGAGUACNGGGGGUGGCAAACCCCCCG